Long non-coding RNA from Camelus dromedarius (Arabian camel), 327 nucleotides. RefSeq lists it as uncharacterized. The transcript is spliced from 3 exons. The record is from RefSeq and is a predicted model, not a curated record. NCBI's taxonomy places the organism in Eukaryota, Metazoa, Chordata, Mammalia, Artiodactyla, Camelidae.
GGCUGAUGUGGGGUCACCCUGGCCUCCCAUCUCUGCUUCCCCAAAAUCCAUCACCAGCCACAUAGACGGACGCAUAGCCUUGUCUCUGCCCACGUUCUCCCUGGGGGUCAAGAAAGGCCAUGUGCGCCUGUCAAAUGCAGAAACCAUCACGUCCUCACCAUAUCCUGUAUCCAAAUUAGCUUCAUUUGUGCAAAUGCUCCAUGAUCGUCGGGACUCACAGGUCUGUGUUUCCAUCCACUUUAUUCUCCUGGUUCUAUUCCUACCUCGGAUCACCUCCUGCUCCGUUUGUUCCUAGUGUCUCUACCUGUUCAUCAGGGGUUUGAUGUU